This 377-nucleotide ribosomal RNA is filed under the name uncultured eukaryote. Its description in RNAcentral is "partial 18S ribosomal RNA". It matches the Rfam family "Eukaryotic small subunit ribosomal RNA", at positions 592 to 976 of the family's 1831-position model. The record is from RNAcentral.
CAAUAGCGUAUAUUAAAGUUGUUGCAGUUAAAAAGCUCGUAGUUGGAUUUCGGGGCAGCCUGGCUGGUCCGCCGCAAGGCGAGUACUGGUCAGCCGCCCUUCCUCUCGAAAGCCCCGACUGCUCUUUAUUGCAGUGGUCGGGUAGUUCGGGACGUUUACUUUGAAAAAAUUAGAGUGUUCAAGGCAGGCCUACGCCUGAAUACAUUAGCAUGGAAUAAUGGAAGAGGACCUCGGUCCUAUUUUGUUGGUUUCCAGGACCGAAGUAAUGAUUAAGAGGGACAGUUGGGGGCAUUCGUAUUUAAUUGUCAGAGGUGAAAUUCUCGGAUUUAUGAAAGACGAACAACUGCGAAAGCAUUUGCCAAGGAUGUUUCCAUUAA